This 660-nucleotide ribosomal RNA is filed under the name Alteromonas mediterranea. RNAcentral's name for it is "bacterial SSU rRNA". It matches the Rfam family "Bacterial small subunit ribosomal RNA", at positions 81 to 743 of the family's 1533-position model. Lineage: Bacteria; Pseudomonadati; Pseudomonadota; Gammaproteobacteria; Alteromonadales; Alteromonadaceae. The record is from RNAcentral.
CACUUCGCUGACGAGUGGCGGACGGGUGAGUAAUGCUUGGGAACUUGCCUUUGCGAGGGGGAUAACAGUUGGAAACGACUGCUAAUACCGCAUAAUGUCUACGGACCAAACGGGGCUUAGGCUCCGGCGCAAAGAGAGGCCCAAGUGAGAUUAGCUAGUUGGUAAGGUAAAGGCUUACCAAGGCAACGAUCUCUAGCUGUUCUGAGAGGAAGAUCAGCCACACUGGAACUGAGACACGGUCCAGACUCCUACGGGAGGCAGCAGUGGGGAAUAUUGCACAAUGGGGGGAACCCUGAUGCAGCCAUGCCGCGUGUGUGAAGAAGGCCUUCGGGUUGUAAAGCACUUUCAGUUGUGAGGAAAAGUUAGUAGUUAAUACCUGCUAGCCGUGACGUUAACAACAGAAGAAGCACCGGCUAACUCCGUGCCAGCAGCCGCGGUAAUACGGAGGGUGCGAGCGUUAAUCGGAAUUACUGGGCGUAAAGCGCACGCAGGCGGUUUGUUAAGCUAGAUGUGAAAGCCCCGGGCUCAACCUGGGAUGGUCAUUUAGAACUGGCAGACUAGAGUCUUGGAGAGGGGAGUGGAAUUCCAGGUGUAGCGGUGAAAUGCGUAGAUAUCUGGAGGAACAUCAGUGGCGAAGGCGACUCCCUGGCCAAAGACUGA